AUUGAACGCUGGCGGCAGGCUUAACACAUGCAAGUCGAGCGGGGUGAUGGUGCUUGCACUAUCACUUAGCGGCGGACGGGUGAGUAAUGCUUAGGAAUCUGCCUAUUAGUGGGGGACAACAUCUCGAAAGGGAUGCUAAUACCGCAUACGUCCUACGGGAGAAAGCAGGGGAUCACUUGUGACCUUGCGCUAAUAGAUGAGCCUAAGUCGGAUUAGCUAGUUGGUGGGGUAAAGGCCUACCAAGGCGACGAUCUGUAGCGGGUCUGAGAGGAUGAUCAGCCACACUGGGACUGAGACACGGCCUGGACUCCUACGGGAGGCAGCAGUGGGGAAUAUUGGACAAUGGGGGGAACCCUGAUCCAGCCAUGCCGCGUGUGUGAGGAAGGCCUUAUGGUUGUAAAGCACUUUAAGCGAGGAGGAGGCUCUUUUGGUUAAUACCCAAGAUGAGUGGACGUUACUCGCAGAAUAAGCACCGGCUAACUCUGUGCCAGCCGCCGCCGUAA
Molecule: ribosomal RNA, 503 nt
Filed under: uncultured bacterium
Lineage: Bacteria
Description: partial 16S ribosomal RNA
Rfam family: Bacterial small subunit ribosomal RNA
Source: RNAcentral